UUUCUGGACCCUCCAAGAAGAGAGAAUCCAUUCCUGGACCCUUUCGCUAUGAGCAGUUGAUGCUGGCAUCCUUCUUUUUACUCCAGGAGGGGAAGAGAGGACGCGCAGGGCAGACAGAGAGGGAGGAGAGCAACCCCGCGGCGAUGCCCACAGCUCUUGCCUUGUUGACGGCCCGGCGACCUUGCACCCGAAUAGAGAGAGACAGAGCGAUGCAGGCUUCCAGCUCCAGGAGGCGCACGGGGCCAACAUAAAGCCCCUGUGGCAAACACCGUGAAAUGCAGAAUGCUGUGAAGCAGGAGGAGGCGCUCACGGCCCAUGGAGGACACGGGUAACAGCACUGCGCUCAUCUCUAGCAGCUCUCGGCCAGGACAGCAGCGGCCCGUGGAGCAGGGGAGGGGCCCUGCAGACUUCCCGGCCCCACGGCGUCGCGUCCUGCGGGUCUCCCUGUCUCGGCACAGCCCACUCGCCUCCGGGGGACGCUCCCUCUCCAGCCAGCCCUGCCUGCUCAGGGUCCCUGCUCCACGGCGCUCCUGAGCUGCCAGCUUCCUGAUCCCCUCAGCGAGACGUGAGCACCACGUAGUAAGUGCUGCUGGGAGAACUUUCGUUCCUGCAGAAGUUUCUACUAAAUAGUCUCACACCAGGGCCCUCACAGUGGAAGAGGUUUUGAACAUUUAACAGAACCCUGAUCCUGUAAGUUUUGGAGAUGGUUCAGCAUCCAUGGUCCAGUGGCUCCUAAUCGAGUUCAUGGUGGGAAUUCACAACGACCAUCGCAGAUGAUAAACCCAUUUGCAAGCUGCUAUCAUUGGAAGGAGAAAUACUUACUGCAGCAUGGAGAGGAGGGUUUGCUACAUGGCAAACUGACACGUGAAGCCACUCUGCAAUGUCCAGAACUCGUGCACCAACUCCAAAGCCUGCUGCAGUAGAACUGAAGGAAUUCAUUCCCAGGCUUCCUGGGUCUGAAAAGCAGGAGAGAGAAAGGCCAUCAAAAGCCCAUAAUCUCACGCUC
Non-coding RNA from Heterocephalus glaber (naked mole-rat), 1006 nucleotides. NCBI's taxonomy places the organism in Eukaryota, Metazoa, Chordata, Mammalia, Rodentia, Bathyergidae. The record is from RefSeq and is a predicted model, not a curated record.